CCUCAAAUAGAGGGUUUGUUUUGAUUCCACGGCAGACAGUAGCGAGUAGCGGCUGAUGAUGGCAGACCAAAGUGGUACACCACGUACUGAAACAACCGCUCCCAGGGGGAAAAACAAAAGUUUAGCAGAGAAGGUCACCAGAAAAAAAGAACUCGAUACUGCAAGAGGAAAACGUUGAGUAAACAUCGGCUCUGCUUUUGAGCAAUGGAGGGAACUGAUGAAGCUGCAGCCAGAGCUAAAAUCGGAUGAAAUGGUCGCGGAGUUUCUGCUGGAAAGUUACGGAAAAACAACGUCGACGCCAGUAAAACGUGGUUUCAAGAGGCCUCCUCCGCCACCAUUGUCCACCAUUGCCGAAUCUUUUUCAGAACGAGAGGAGGAUUUCUCUGUUCAUGGAGUGGAGGGUUUGGACAGCUACUCGGCUGAGACCUCACUUCUCACAAUACAAGCAAGUGUUACAUCAGCAGAUGAAAGAUUGGGUGACAUCAAUGAGGACGCAUUUAAUGAUGUAACAAACUCUAUCAUUGACCACGAUGAGGACGAAUACGAUCCUUCUUGGCAUCCAGACAUGGAGGCGCAAUCAGAUUUGCUGUUGGAAGAGGGGGACACUGUAGAGGAAGACUCUGACUGCAAUGACAGCGACGACCCAGAUUACGUGCCACUUUUUCGUGUGUGCAAAGGCAGAUCUCUGAAUACUGGGUUCAUCCUUGAAGAAUGUCCAUCAGUCACCAUGGAAGACACUGUGCAUGACACGGGAGACGACACAGAUCAAGAUGAUCAUGAAGAAGAUCUCUCUGUGCUGGAGCAAGAGCAAGAGACACAACAUCUUCCCCAAAAAAAGCAAAGAAGGCAACCAUAUAGAUCAGAGAUAACUGUUGAGGUGGAAGAGGAUAUAAUUGGCAAACCGGCUUCUAUUGCUUACCAUGACUGUCUGAGGCAGCUUUGUGAGUUUGUUGCUUUGCCAAUAGAUUCUUGUAAAGGGAAGGACCCCAUCACCCAAAAACAAUGUCAGGCAAAAGGACCUUUUGAGAUUAACAUCAAGUCAAGGGUCACAGCUGCCGUCAUUGAAUGGCUGUGUCCUCAAGGUCAUAUCGUGUGGCGGUGGUCUUCCCAACCAACUUUAAAAUUUGGCAGUCAGUUAGGAGACUUUCUAAUGGCCACCAACAUUUUGCUCACAGGCAACAACUACACAAAGGUGAAAAUGCUUUUCAACUUCAUGAAUAUGGGGAUGAUCAAUGAGAGAUACUUUGCUGGCAUCCAAGACAACUACUGUGUGGACACUAUAAAGGCGUUCUGGAAUGCGAGAAGAGCCAAAGUGAUUGCCAAUGUGAAGACAUUAGGACCAACUGUUGCUCUCGGACAUGUGGACAGGAUUGCUGCACCAUGUCACUGGAGAACACCAGUGGGGACUUGGCGGCUGUUACCAUGGCCAUAGCAACAAGGAGCUUAUUCCAAAGGGAAGCACUGCACACCGCAAAAUCACAGGACUGAUCAUGGAUGAGAGGUGGUCAAAGACGAUUCCAAAGUACUUGACCUUUAGAUCCACUGGUGCCCUGGAGUGUUUCCAUGCACACCUUCUGAUGUACGCAUCAAAACGAAUCGCCUUCGUACCACCUGUGUAUGCGGCCCGAACACUUUUAGCUGCCCUCGACUACAAUGAACACUGCAGCCGACCCUACUAUGUGAAGGCAGAUGGCAAAUACAGCUACCACAAAAUGUACAACAAAAAAAGCGGUGGCUUCUGUCUGUACA
RNA transcript from Gadus morhua (Atlantic cod), 1749 nucleotides. RefSeq lists it as uncharacterized. The record is from RefSeq and is a predicted model, not a curated record. NCBI's taxonomy places the organism in Eukaryota, Metazoa, Chordata, Actinopteri, Gadiformes, Gadidae. The transcript is spliced from 10 exons.